CCUUUCCUACGGGUGGCAGCAGUGAGGAAUAUUGGUCAAUGGACGCAAGUCUGAACCAGCCAUGCCGCGUGGAGGAUGACAGCCUUCUGGGUUGUAAACUUCUUUUAUAUGGGAAGAAAAGUACGGUUUCUACUGUAUCCGACGGUACCAUAUGAAUAAGCACCGGCUAACUCCGUGCCAGCAGCCGCGGUAAUACGGAGGGUGCAAGCGUUAUCCGGAUUUACUGGGUUUAAAGGGUGUGUAGGCGGAUAUUUAAGUCAGAGGUGAAAUCUCCGGGCUCAACCCGGAAACUGCCUUUGAUACUAUUUAUCUUGAAUUUCGUUGAGGUUGGCGGAAUAUAUCAUGUAGCGGUGAAAUGCAUAGAUAUGAUAUAGAACACCGAUUGCGUAGGCAGCUGGCUGAACGAACAUUGACGCUGAGCACGAA
This 426-nucleotide ribosomal RNA is filed under the name uncultured bacterium. Its description in RNAcentral is "bacterial SSU rRNA". It matches the Rfam family "Bacterial small subunit ribosomal RNA", at positions 333 to 757 of the family's 1533-position model. The record is from RNAcentral.